AUUGAACGCUGGCGGCAUGCCUUACACAUGCAAGUCGAACGGUAACGGGCCUUCGGGUGCCGACGAGUGGCGCACGGGUGAGUAUACAUCGGAACGUGCCCGAUCGUGGGGGAUAACGAGGCGAAAGCUUUGCUAAUACCGCAUACGAUCUACGGAUGAAAGCAGGGGACCGCAAGGCCUUGCGCGGACGGAGCGGCCGAUGGCAGAUUAGGUAGUUGGUGGGAUAAAAGCUUACCAAGCCGACGAUCUGUAGCUGGUCUGAGAGGAUGAUCAGCCACACUGGGACUGAGACACGGCCCAGACUCCUACGGGAGGCAGCAGUGGGGAAUUUUGGACAAUGGGCGCAAGCCUGAUCCAGCCAUGCCGCGUGCAGGAUGAAGGCCUUCGGGUUGUAAACUGCUUUUGUACGGAACGAAAAGCCUUCUUUUAAUACAGGAGGGUCAUGACGGUACCGUAAGAAUAAGCACCGGCUAACUACGUG
Molecule: ribosomal RNA, 481 nt
Filed under: uncultured bacterium
Lineage: Bacteria
Description: partial 16S ribosomal RNA
Rfam family: Bacterial small subunit ribosomal RNA
Source: RNAcentral